Molecule: long non-coding RNA, 316 nt
Filed under: Androctonus crassicauda
Lineage: Eukaryota; Metazoa; Arthropoda; Arachnida; Scorpiones; Buthidae
Source: RNAcentral
CCGCUAUUUUAAUGUCAGUCAAUAUCUGUAUAAUUAUAAAUUUUUCUCAAAGUGUUCAACAUACUUUUGGUCAAGGAUUCAAAUUUAAUGGAAUGCGCACAACUUAUAUGAACUCUAUAGCAACAUCAAAUUCGAUUUUUAAAUGGAAACAGGCAGUUAAUAUCAACCUAAUAAUAAUUGCAAGCAAAUCAUGUAACCAGAUGUUGCUCGCUAUUACUGGCUGUACAUCGCAAGGAGCAAUAUCUUUUCAUAAACAUCAUUUAUAAAAGCCAUAGCAUACAAGCUUUAUUAAUUCCAUUUCAAAUGGAAAGACCCC